GGUAAAGCUACUAAGGGCGUACGGUGGAUGCCUUGGUACAUGGAGGCGAUGAAGGACGUGAUAAGCUGCGAUAAGCCUCGGGAAGGUGCAAACAACCUUAGAUCCGAGGAUUUCCGAAUGGGGCAACCUGUCUCGGGUUAUGCCGGGACACUCCCAGUUGAACACAUAGGCUGGGUUGAGCUAACGGGGCGAAUUGACACAUCUAAGUAACCCUAGGAAAAGAAAACAAUCGUGAUUUCCUCAGUAGCGGCGAGCGAACAGGAAAGAGCCAAAACUUCGAUCAUGUUAAAGUCCGUAGACGUUGUGAUUGGAGUGUUGUGAGGCAGUUCCGGAGUCUGUUACGGAAGAUUCGGGGAGUCAAAAAACCUGAUGUUAGUUGAACGGCAUGGAAAGGCCGGCCAUAGAAGGUGAUAGUCCUGUAAACAAAAACUGAUGGUCUCCCUGGGAACUGUUCUCGAGUAGCACGGUACACGUGAAAUUCCGUGUGAAACUGCCAGGACCAUCUGGCAAGGCUAAAUACUCCCAUGUAACCGAUAGUGAACUAGUACCGUGAGGGAAAGGUGAAAAGUACUCCUAACGGAGAGUGAAAUAGAACCUGAAACCGUAUGCCUACAAGCAGUCGGAGUUCCGAUUUAUCGGAAUGACGGCGUGCCUUUUGCAUAAUGAGCCAGCGAGUUGCUCGUAUGUUGCAAGGUUAAUCCCGUUAUGGGAGGAGCCGCAGCGAAAGCGAGUCUGAACAGGGCAAUUCAGUAACAUGCGGCAGACCCGAAGCCGAGUGAUCUAUCCAUGGCCAGGUUGAAGCGACAGUAACAUGUUGUGGAGGACCGAACCCACCAGGGUUGAAAACCUGGGGGAUGAGCUGUGGAUAGGGGUGAAAGGCCAAUCAAACUCGGCGAUUUCUGGUUCUCCCCGAAAUGCCUUUAGGGGCAGCGUCGUGGAAGUGCCUCGGGGGUAGAGCACUGGAUGGACUAGGGGCCCUACAAGGUUACCAAACCCAACCAAACUCCGAAUACCGAGGUUACGAUCCCCGGCAGUGAGGCCACGGGGGAUAAGCUUCGUGGCCGAGAGGGAAACAACCCAGACCAACAGCUAAGGUCCCAAAAUCUGAGUUAAGUGACUAAGGAUGUAAGAUUGCACAGACAGCUAGGAGGUUGGCUUAGAAGCAGCCAUCCUUUAAAGAAAGCGUAAUAGCUCACUAGUUAAGGAAUCUUGCGCCGAUAAUCUCCGGGACUGUUAAACUCAGUACCGAAGCUCUGGUCCCGGCACAUUUGUGUCGGGAGGUAGGGGAGCGUUCCAUCAACCUGUGAAGUCCUAGACGGGAGUCGGGAUGGAGGAAAUGGAAGUGAGUAUGCUGGCAUGAGUAGCGAUAAUUCCAGUGAAAUUCUGGGACACCAAAAGCCUAAGGUUUCCUGAGUAAAGUAACUCUGCUCAGGGUUAGUCGGUCCCUAAGCCGAGGCCGAAAGGCGUAGGCGAUGGAUAACAGGUGAAUAUUCCUGUACCACCCAAUCAUCGUUUGAACGAUGGGGGGACGCAGAAGUGAAAGAUCAGCCCGGUUUUGAUUGUCCGGGUUUAAGUGUGUAGGGAGUUCUGGCAGGCAAAUCCACCGGAACCAUCCUGAGACACGAAUAGGAGGGCCUAGCCCACAAACUGAUCCUAAUCAUGCUGCCAAGAAAAUCCUCUAAGUGAGAUUUUUGGGUGACCGUACCGUAAACGGACACACGUAGGCGAGAAGAGUAUUCUAAGGUGCUUGGGUUAAUCGUGGUAAAGGAACUCGGCAAAUUGGCCCCGUAACUUCGGGAGAAGGGGCGCCUCAAGUAGGUAAAGGCCUUCGCGGCUGGAGCCCAAAGAGGUCGCAGAAACCAGAGUCGGGCGACUGUUUACCAAAAACACAGGUCUCUGCUAAUCAGCAAUGAGAAGUAUAGGGACUGACACCUGCCCGGUGCUGGAAGGUUAAGGGGAGUUGUUAGCGCGCAAGCGCGAAGCAGUGAACCGAAGCCCCAGUAAACGGCGGCCGUAACUAUAACGGUCCUAAGGUAGCGAAAUUCCUUGUCGGGUAAGUUCCGACCCGCACGAAUGGUGUAACGACUUGACUACUGUCUCUACCACGAGCCCAGCGAAAUUGCAGUGUCGGUGAAGAUACCGGCUACCCGCGGCAGGACGGAAAGACCCCGUGAACCUUUACUACAUCCUGACAUUGGGUUUUGGUUAUGUAUGUGUAGGAUAGGUGGGAGGCUUUGAAGCUCGGACGCUAGUUCGGGUGGAGCCAACCUUGAAAUACCACCCUUAUAUUGCUGAAAUUCUAAUUCCGACCCUUGAAUCAGGGCGGGAAACAGUGUCAGGUGGGUAGUUUGACUGGGGCGGUCUCCUCCUAAAAAGUAACGGAGGAGCCCAAAGGUUCCCUCAGCACGGACGGUAAUCGUGCAAAGAGUGCAAAGGCAUAAGGGAGCUUAACUGCAAGGCCGACAGGCCGAGCAGGUGCGAAAGCAGGGCUUAGUGAUCCGGUGGUCCCGAAUGGAAGGGCCAUCGCUCAACGGAUAAAAGGUACUCCGGGGAUAACAGGCUUAUCGCCUCCGAGAGCUCAUAUCGACGAGGCGGUUUGGCACCUCGAUGUCGGCUCAUCACAUCCUGGGGCUGAAGAAGGUCCCAAGGGUUGGGCUGUUCGCCCAUUAAAGUGGUACGUGAGCUGGGUUUAGAACGUCGUAAGACAGUUCGGUCCCUAUCCGCCGUGGGCGCAGGAAACUUGAGGGAAGCUGUUCCUAGUACGAGAGGACCGGAACGGACGAACCUCUGGUGCACCAGUUGUCUCAUCAGAGGCACUGCUGGGUAGCUACGUUCGGCAGGGAUAAGCGCUGAAAGCAUAUAAGCACGAAGCCCUUCCCAAGAUAAGGUUUCCCUCCCCGACAUUUGUGUCGGGGGUAAAGGCCUCCCGUAGACUACGGGUUUGAUAGGUCACAGGUGUAAGUCCGGUAACGGAUUUAGCCGAGUGAUACUAAUUGGCCGUCAGGCUUUAUCGA
Molecule: ribosomal RNA, 3014 nt
Filed under: Fidelibacterota bacterium
Lineage: Bacteria; Pseudomonadati; Fidelibacterota
Description: 23S ribosomal RNA
Rfam family: Bacterial large subunit ribosomal RNA
Source: RNAcentral